RNAcentral lists this ribosomal RNA (256 nucleotides) under uncultured bacterium. Its description in RNAcentral is "partial 16S ribosomal RNA". It matches the Rfam family "Bacterial small subunit ribosomal RNA", at positions 524 to 776 of the family's 1533-position model. The record is from RNAcentral.
UACAGAGGUGGCAAGCGUUGUUCGGAAUUACUGGGCGUAAAGGGCGCGUAGGCGGCCUUCUAAGUCAGACGUGAAAUCCCCCCGGCUUAACCUGGGAACUGCGUCUGAUACUGGGAGGCUUGAGUGCGGGGAGAGGGGAUGCGGAAUUCCAGGUGUAGCGGUGAAAAUGCGUAGAUAUCUGGAGGAACACCGGUGGCGAAGGCAGCCUCCUGGGCCAGCACUGACGCUCAUGCACGAAAGCGUGGGAGCAAACAGG